This 271-nucleotide ribosomal RNA is filed under the name uncultured bacterium. Its description in RNAcentral is "partial 16S ribosomal RNA". It matches the Rfam family "Bacterial small subunit ribosomal RNA", at positions 29 to 289 of the family's 1533-position model. The record is from RNAcentral.
AUGAACGCUGGCGGCGUGCCUAAUACAUGCAAGUCGAGCGAACAGGCGAGGAGCUUGCUCCUCUGACGUUAGCGGCGGACGGGUGAGUAACACGUGGAUAACCUACCUAUAAGACUGGGAUAACUUCGGGAAACCGGAGCUAAUACCGGAUAAUAUAUUGAACCGCAUGGUUCAAUAGUGAAAGACGGUUUUGCUGUCACUUAUAGAUGGAUCCGUGCCGCAUUAGCUAGUUGGUAAGGUAACGGCUUACCAAGGCAACGAUGCGUAGCCG